AUACGUAGGGGGCAAGCGUUAUCCGGAUUUACUGGGCGUAAAGGGCGUGUAGGCGGUCUUGCAAGUCAGAAGUGAAAUUCCUGAGCUCAACUCGGGCGCUGCUUCUGAAACUGCAGGACUUGAGUGCUGGAGGGGAUAGCGGAAUUCCUAGUGGAGCGGUAAAAUGCGUAGAUAUUAGGAAGAACACCUGUGGCGAAGGCGGUUAGCUGGGCCGAAACUGACGCUGAGGCGCGAAAGCUGGGGGAGCAAACAGGAUUAGAUACCCUGGUAGUCCAGGCCUUAAACGAUGAAUACUAGGUGUAGGGGGUAACGACGCCCCCUGGGCCGGAGGUAAACGAAUAAGGAUUCCGGCUUGGGAAUUAGGGCGGAAGGUUGAAACUUAAAGGAAAUUGAGGG
RNAcentral lists this ribosomal RNA (396 nucleotides) under uncultured bacterium. RNAcentral describes it as "partial 16S ribosomal RNA". It matches the Rfam family "Bacterial small subunit ribosomal RNA", at positions 523 to 917 of the family's 1533-position model. The record is from RNAcentral.